Molecule: ribosomal RNA, 497 nt
Filed under: uncultured bacterium
Lineage: Bacteria
Description: partial 16S ribosomal RNA
Rfam family: Bacterial small subunit ribosomal RNA
Source: RNAcentral
GAUGAACGCUGGCGGCGUGCCUAAUACAUGCAAGUCGAGCGAACAGACGAGGAGCUUGCUCCUCUGACGUUAGCGGCGGACGGGUGAGUAACACGUGGAUAACCUACCUAUAAGACUGGGAUAACUUCGGGAAACCGGAGCUAAUACCGGAUAAUAUAUUGAACCGCAUGGUUCAAUAGUGAAAGACGGUUUUGCUGUCACUUAUAGAUGGAUCCGCGCCGCAUUAGCUAGUUGGUAAGGUAACGGCUUACCAAGGCAACGAUGCGUAGCCGACCUGAGAGGGUGAUCGGCCACACUGGAACUGAGACACGGUCCAGACUCCUACGGGAGGCAGCAGUAGGGAAUCUUCCGCAAUGGGCGAAAGCUUGACGGAGCAACGCCGCGUGAGUGAUCAAGGUCUUCGGAUCGUAAAACUCUGUUAUUAGGGAAGAACAAAUGUGUAAGUAACUAUGCACGUCUUGACGGUACCUAAUCAGAAAGCCACGGCUAACUACGUG